Molecule: long non-coding RNA, 8893 nt
Filed under: Cicer arietinum (chickpea)
Lineage: Eukaryota; Viridiplantae; Streptophyta; Magnoliopsida; Fabales; Fabaceae
Description: long non-coding RNA (CARI_LNC001845)
Source: RNAcentral
CCAACUCAUCUUUAAGCACUACGUACAUAUAUCAUCUUGUUUUCACUCAAUUUUGGAGAGUUGAUAAUCUUAGAGAGGUAGAAAAAGUAGAGUUUUUUUUUAGAGGACCCACACCCCAAGAAAAAAAUUCAAUUCAAGUGUAAAUAUUUAUGUGUUAAAGUGUGAUAUGUGUGGACCAUUCAAGGAAAAAAUUGUGUGCUAUAUGGGACUACCUGCAUAAUUCAACUAAAAUUCAACUAAAGUGAAUUAUUUAAGAAGCACAUAUUAUAUUGUUGAAGAUGUUCUAAAGUACCCCUUUGAGAUGCUCUAAAGUGAGUUGCAUCUUGUUAAGAUGAAAGUAGCUCAAGCUAAAAAAGUCUAAGAUUAAAAUGUUGGUCGGUUUAAAUAAAUACAAAGAGUUUAAUAAUAUUGUUGUUGUUAUAUAGUUCUCACUCCGUCCUAAAAUAAUUAUCAUAUUUAUAAAAAUAUUUGUCAUAAAAUAAUUAUUAUUUUUAAUUUACAAUAUAAUGUUAAUUAUCAUAUUUUAAUUAUAUAAUUUAAUUAAUAUUUUGUGUAUCACUCUCAAGUUAUAAUUUUUUAUUAUGUAUUUAUGACAAUAAAAAUAAUCUAAUAGUUGAUGCGAAUAGUUUUGUAAAAUUAUUAUUCUAUUUUAUUAAUUUAUUAUUUAUUUUAAUCAAUUUGAAAUUGUCAAAUGCGAUGAUUAUUUUGAGAUAAAAUAAAUAAUAAAAUUUUAUAUGAUGUGCUAAAAUUAUAUACAAACUUAUCAUCUACAAAAUUUAAGCUUAAUGACGUAUAGAAACGUUUUGAGUUUGCAAAUUUAUCUACUAAUAACAAAUUUUAAAGGAUAAAUCUUAUUUUUAUCUAUUAAAUUGUUACAAAAAUUGGGAUAUGUGAGAUUAUAUUGUAAAUCUUUAAAUUAGACUAAUAAAUUAUAUUUAGUUUUUCAAGUUCAUUAAACACUUAUAAAAGAAUUUACAUUUGCAUUUCUUUAAUAAUAUUAGUUGAGAUUGAAUUCACAGUACAUCGAAUUUAAUACAUGUCUUUUAUUAUUAGACUAUAUCAUUCAUGUUUUAAAAAAAAGUCUAUUCCACAUAAAAAUAAAAGUUUCUAUAACUAAUACUUUAUUCUUUUACACUUAAUUUUUAACUGUGAUAGGAUCUAUAUAUAACUAAAGUAUUUUAAAACUUUUGAAUUUUUCUUAACCUAUGGUCCCUAGAAAAAAUAGAUCUUGCUAGUCCAAAGUUUAGUUGAGAUGCUCUACCUAAAGUUCAAAGUCAAAGGUUGACAAAAAAAAAAUUGGAACUCUAAAUUUUUUAUUGAUUCAACAUUUAAGUUUUAAAGUUUGAAAUCAAUGUUGUAAUGCUGAUCAACUAUUCUUACCAUUGCAAUAGCGAUACUUCCUCCGAACUCAAAUAUCAAUAUAUCUAAAUCCCAUCGUGCUUACUACUAUUUUCCCCCUAACCUCUAAGUCUUCUCCCUUUUUUCCGGCUACCGAAACUACAAAAGUCCUCUAAACAAUUCAUCUAUAAAUUUUUGUUGACAUUUCAAUAAGUCAUUAACUAAAAAAACAAUUCCCUGAGUCGUUAAUAAGUAAGCUUUUUGAAACCCACCCAAUUUAAUCAAUUAAUAUCGUAAUAUUUAUCAAUGUCAAUUAUUAUCUAUAGCAUACAAUUAAAUUAGAUGCAAAUGAGCCGAGUUGAGUCGAACAUAAGUUCAAUUUGGCUCAACUCGACAAGAAUUGGUUUAACUGGAAAUUCAACUCGAGUUUGUCACGAAAUUAUUUUUCAACUCUAUUCAAGUUUACGGACAACUCGCUUCGCUCGAUAGUUCUAAUCAAAUAAACCAAAAGACAAAAUUGUUAGUGAAAAAGUAUUUUUAAAUGCAAUCUUUUGGUUAAUGUUUUGAUGAUAACAAAUACAUAUAAAUAAAGAACAACUAUUCCCUAACUAUAUAUGUUAAGUGUGUAGAUUAAAGAAAACAAUUAUGUUAAUAACUAUUCAAAGUAGCCUAGAUUACAAGUACUUUAGAGAUCCUCUAUUGGAGUAAAAACGUAAAAGAAAUACUACAGAAGCAAGCGCAUCAAAACAUGUUUCGCCAUAGUAGGAUAUAUCCUCUGGUAAUUUGUCAACAAGAUUUGGUAAAUUUUGCAUUCCAAAAGUAGUGAAAAAGCAUCUAUGAUAUAUUGUCUUUGAUGGUUCAAGUAGUGAACUGCCACAACUGAUUCUGCCUCAGAUAUAGUUCUGCUCAAAUUGUCUCUGCUACAUCUGCCUCUGAUGAAGCAAAUCAGACUCUACUAAAGUCUAUCUCUGAUGAAGCAAACAAGACAUUGUUAAGUCUGCCUCUGAUGAAGCAAGCAAGACUUUGUUAAGUAUGCCUCUGUAAAGCGAGCAAACUUAUGAACAAACUGCCUCUCACCAAUUGCCUAUGAUAUAUUAUCUUUGGAGAUGAAUCAAUCGUCUGAUUACCUCUGCCUCUAAUAAACCCAAUUCAAUUAUGUUCCUAUGCCUUUGAUACUCAAGCAAAAUAAUAAUUCUUAUGCCCUCUAGGUCUAACAAGAAUCCUUCUACAUGUGCCUCUGAUAAUCUCAUCAAGCGUCUGACUCAUAACUAUUAUGUAUCAUAUGGAAAAUCAAUGUUAUAAUAAAGUCAACACUUAGAGAAAAGUAAAUGUCUCUUGUAAAAAGUCAACAUGGAAUAAGUCAAUACUUAUGGUAAAAGUUAACGCUCUGACAAGAGGACAAAAUAUAAUGCAGAAAGGAAUGCACUGCCUCUGAUUAUCAACAAUGCCUCUGAUUAUCUACCUUUGAUUACCAAUAUUGCUUCUCGUCAAUUAAUACUACUUCUAGUUAUUGCCUCUUGUCAAGAAAUCAUGUUUCUGAUGUUCUUGCCUCAUGUCAACUAAACUUGCUUCUGGUACCCGUAAUUUUGGUUAAUAAAUCAUGACUCUGGUACUCCAACCUCUAAUCAAGAAAUCAUGAUUCUUGUAUUAUUAUAUCUGGUCAAGAAAUCAUGAUUCUAGUGUUCUUGCAUUUGGUCAAUAAAUCAUGCUUUUGAUGUUCUUGCCUAUGGUCAAGAAAGUAUACUUCUGGCACUCGUGCUUCUUGUCAAGAAAACACAAUUUUUGUGUUCCUACCUCUAGUCAAGAAAUAAUGCUUAUGAUGUUCUUGCAUUUGAUCACGAAAUCAUGCUUAUGGUUGUUUUGUGCAUCUGAUCAAGUACUUCAGCUUCUUAUUGUUUUUUGUUUUUGAUCAAGUACUUCUACUUCUAAUUGUUUUAUACUUAUGCUAUACAGUUUGAUUUAUUCUCAAAUGAUCUAUUGUUGAAUUCAAAUGAAACACCAUGUUGAAGGACAUAAGGCCAUUCUAUAAAGUACACAAGGCCAUUAUAUGAAGGACAUUCAUCCCUCCCUUGAAGGAUAAAGGCAAUGUUGUAAUUGAUUAUGUAAAAGAACAUGUAUUUUGAACUGAAAGAUGAUGAUAAUAACUUGCAACAUUUUAAAAGAGAAACAAACACAACACAACAAGAAAAACACAUCAAAAAGCCAUAAAUGAAAAAUCAUCUCGGUAGAGAGUUACUAGAAUUGAUGUUAAUUAGUCAAAAUGUUUUCAUACACUUGAACUGAUAUAUGAUUAAAUAUGUAAGAUCCUCACAAUGAGAGAUAGAAUCUUAGAAUCAUACUUUGUGUGAAAUCAGAAACAAACUAGAAUUGAUGCAAACUCGUCAAAAUGUUUUCAUACACUUGAAAUGAUAUAUGAUUGAAUUUGUAAGAUCCUCUCAAUGAGAGUUAGAAUCCUAAAAACAAACUUUGUGUCAAUUUAAACACAAACUUGAACUGAUGUAAAUUACCCCGUUAGUGGAAACAACACUCAUGAACCUCAACGACAGUUUUCCAGAAUAUUGAAGAAUGGUUUUGACGACAACAGUCUGAAGAGACUAGAGAAAGAAUACUUAAAGCUUAAAGAGGCAGAAUAAACAAUACUUGUAAAUCCUGGAGAGGCUGGAGAAAAAAAUACUCAAAGCCUUUAGAAGUAGAGUAAAUAAUACUCGUAAAGCCCAUAGAGGCUGGAGAAAGACUACUCAAGGUUUGAAGAUGCAUAAUAAAUAAUACUUGUAUCCUAUUGUUACAAUAGUGGAUUAAAUCUUCUACAGUACUGAGAUAAAAUCUUUCUGUAAGGGGCGAACUAGAAGUAACAAUUGUUGUGUUGUGAACUAGUAUAAAAAUAUAUAUGUCUUUCUCUUUCACUAUUUCUUUUAUCUUAGUUCUUUAUGAUUCAACUUUAUUUUCACUAAAUCUGAUUUAUAAGAGUAAGUUGAAUGUUUUGAUAAAGAAAAUUUUUGUGUAAAGAAAUCGAAGUAUAAUCUAAAAAUGGCAUACACAAUUCAAACUCUCCCUUUCUUGUAUUUUCCAUCACCUUCAAUUGAUAUCAAAGUCUGUUAUCUUGAUUAAGCACUUUAUUAAGAAAAUUGUUUGAAAUAGUAUUUUUUUUUUAAUAUUUUCUUCAAUGUGUUUAUCUCCUUCAAAACACAGUUUACCAAAAUAUGGAUGAAACGACUAUUUUUGCUUUUAUAAAAAAAUAGAUGAAGUCCUCUUGUUGGCCAUUUUUUUUGUCAACUUCAUCUUCUUUUCAAAGUCUUUUUUGUAUUUGUGCUUUUCUUGUAAAUCACUAUUCAAUGACAAAUUGGAUAAAGUUGGCAUCCUUUUGUAAGGCAUAGUGAAUUACUAAGUGAGAAUAGUCUAUUUACUAAUACUCAUCAUCUGAUAGAAAGAAAUAUUAGUGAAUUAACUAUAAUUGUUAGUGCAAAAUAAUGGAAACAUUUCAACAAUGAACCUAACCAAUCAGGGAUAAGUUUUCCAAAAACUUCAAUGAUCUGUGAUGUAUUUCAAAUGUGCAAGUAACCAUUUAAAAGAAAUUAUCAGUAGUGGAACCUCUCUCCCAACAACACAAAUUCAGAAAGAUGAAUGGCAACAAGUUAAAGAUCAUAAUCAUACCAAAGGUUAAAGGAUAUAGUCAAGCAUCAGUGUUUAAACCAAGAAUGCUUCAAAUGGAUAGAUCAAUCAUAAUCAAUCAUUUGAUCACCAUAAUUUAAGAUGAAGAAUCAAACACAAGUAUAAUAGUUGAAACAAGACUAUCCUCAAAAAAUCUUGAAAUGCAAGAGGACCAAAACUCUCUUGGAAGAUUAUCUUUUGAUCCCUCAAACUAAGAGAACUUUGAAAUAAAAUUGAGUUUAAUAACUCACCAUUUGUUCAAACUCAUGAGUAUAUCAGAAUCUUAAAAGAACUAUCUUGGCAAAUCCUCUAACUACAAGGUCUGGAGUCAUUCCUCUCACUGCUCAAGGAUAAAAUACUUGCCUCUGGUGCGUAACGUGUUUGAUUCAUCAUUUGAGAUUGACAUUUACAAAAUCAAAGCACUAUAACAAAAGGGUUGCAUAUUCUGAGUCAUAAGAAAUAUCAUAACUAAGAUAAAUCAUCCUCUGGUUAGAAGAUCAUCUGAUUAGAAAAGCCCAACAAAAUUUGGUAAGACAUGUAAAAGAGCAAAUGCAAAAUCAUCCUCGUGUGUCUUUGUCAGGUAUCAUGUACUUUACUUCAUAAUUUUUUUAUGCACUUGUUUGUGUUUACUUAUACGUUCUCGCAUUGUGUGUGCCUAUGUUUUUUUUUUUUUUUCUCAUGGCAUAUCUUGAGUCAGUAUUGUUUUUUCAAUCUUGGUUUAUGUUGUGAUGUCCUCAUUCUAUCAUCUUUCUUUGUUCAUCCAAAAAUCUAUUUUUCCUCUUAUCUAUCCUCUCUGCCUAUUUAAAUCUUUCUCUCCUCCAACAAUUUUUCAAAACCAUCCAUUUCUCUCGUAAGUUCUUUUUAUUCCAAAAAUUGCUUUUAUUUAAACUAUCAUAAACUUGAAAUCCUCUAGGAAAAAUCAAAUAUAUAUAUAUAUAUAUAUAUAUAUAUAUAUAUAUAUAUAUCAUUUUCUUUAUCAAGUCUUCAUCUUCCUAAAUGAUCAUCUUCUUAUAUUGUACUCUCAAAGACUUUAGAAUCUUCUUAAAACACGAACUACUCAACCAGAAGGGUGAAAAGUUCAGAGAUCCUAAAUUCGUUACAUAUGUGAACUAUAAUCAACAAGAUGUAUUAUCCAAAAAAGUUCACAAAAUACAUUUAAAGGUUAAUUUGUGGAACCCUUGGGUAUGAAGGUAUCCUUCUUUCUCCAAGUACCUUGAAUACAAGGAGAAAGUAAUAAAAAGAACAAGGGCAUUGGAGGGUUUGUGCCUCCAUUGAGUAUGAGAUUUAUAAGUGUUGAACAUAAUUAAAUAACCACCUUUGAGCAAUAAUAUAACACUAUAAACAAUUUUAUUUGCCUUCAUGGUAUGAAUAAAAAAUAUAUACAUUAUUUCUAAUUUUUAAAUGACACAUGUUUUAUUUCAAAACAAAAUUUAUAAAUCAAAAUAUUAAUACCGGAAGUAGUUGAUUUGAGCAACAAAUGCAAUAAUAUCUCACAUUAGACUCGUUGCAAUUUUUUUACAAUGUUAGAGAUGAAGUUUGGGUUCCCUAUAAACAAUGAAGUUGUAUGUCUUUUUAGCAACUUUCAAAUCAUAUAAAAAUGUUAGUUUUUUGAAAUAUUUUUAUUUCAUUUCAAAAUAACAUUUAUAAUACUUUCAACAUUAUUUUCAAACAAUUUAAUAUUUACACCUAAAAAAUUAUAUAAAAUUGGUGAUAUAUAUAUAUAUAUAUAUAUAUAUAUAUAUAUGGUUCAUUAAUCAAACAAUUCGAAUUAUACAUAGCUCAAGUUCAACCCAUUUAUUUAGCGAAUUCAUUUUUCAACUCAAGUUUGAUUCAUGAGCCAAGUUCAACGAGCUAAUUAUCAAAUUAAAUGUCGAACUAUUUUCGAGUUGGUUCGACUCAUUGACAGACUUAGAUUAAAUGAUUGAAACUACAAUAAAAUCUCAUUUAACUCAUUGGAUUGAAAAUAACACCUAUCGUUAACUCUAAAGUAAUGCAUUGAUGUAUUAUUGAUAAAAUGCAACGAUCUUCCUACUAAUGAAAUAUCAUUUACAUAUUGCUUUGUAACAUAUCAUUUAUCUUUAACUAUAAUUCUUGCAUAGGUACACUCAUUUACUUGUAUUACUUAAUACUUGAUGUAAUUAUCUAAGUGUUCUACAUCAUUUGCUAGAAAGGAAAUGAACUCAUUUAUGCACUUUUUUUUAUAGAUGCUACGUAAAUUUUAAUUAUUAAACAUUUUCAAUUUUCAAUGCAUCAUUAAUAUUAUGUCAUUUUCGAUGCACAUUAAUACCGAAUUACUUUUUAGAAACCAUUAAUAUUUUAUCACUCUCAAUGCACAAUUAAUUUACAAGAAUUCUCGAUGUACAUAUUUAUAAAUCUACGUGACAAUUAAUCGUUAGUCAUUUUCAAUUCAUAAUUAAUGUGCAGUCAUUCUCAAUGCACCAUUAAUGUAUAGUCAUUCUCAAUACACCAUUAAUGUUCAAUAUUUGUUAAUGCUUUUAAUAUUUUUUUAAUUGUACUCUUUAAUUAAUAAUACUUGUAUUACUUCCAAAUUAAUAUCAUCUACUUUUUUGUUUUGGUAUUAGAAGAUAUCAUAAUUACGAUAAUAAUUAACUGACACAAUUGUGAGGUUCUGAAUUCAAACUCGAGACAAGACGUCGAAUCUAACAAUAUUUAUAUUUGUAUUUUUCAGUUGAGUUAUAACCUAAAGACUAAUAUAAUUUAUUUUAUAUUAAUGAUAAUAGUGAAUAAAUCAAUAAUUAAUAAAAAUAAUUUAAUAAAAAUAUUAUUCUAUCCAUAUAUUUAUUUAUUUAUUAAAGAUUUAGAUCAUCUCAUUUUAGUAUCUCAUAUUCUCUCUCAUAUUAAGAGAGAUAGAGAUACAAAUACUUUUUUGUAUAUCAUAUAAUUUUUAUAAAAAUUAUUUUUAUGUUGCUUAAAUAUUUGUCUCUCAACAUUAGGGAAAAAAGAAAAGAAAAUGUAAUUUUUUUUAAUACAUGUGAAAUCUUAAAUUACCCAUUAUUAUAGUACAAAUGAAGCAUCAUUAAUAAGUGUGAAAUUUUAGAGAGCACAAUGCAGAGAUACUCGUUAGUGUAACCAUUUAUCGAGUCUGUAUUUGAAGUAGAAGGGAGUAUUUAAUUUACCAAUUGUUUUCCUAGUUUUCAGUACACCCUUCCCAAAUUUCUGCUGAGCUAGCACUAAAAAUCAAAAUAAAAAAAACAAUUUAAUUUCACAAAAUUUGUAUACACAUGAACAAAAACGGCAAUGAAUUUGGGCAUAAGCUCCUAUAAAUGAACCCUCUUGCUCACAUAACUCCAACAUCACUUCCCAGUUCUCACUCUCUUAAACAGAGAAAUGGCCAAAACCCUAACAUUACUGUUACUCUUACUCCAACUAACCUCUUUCACUGUCUUUUCUGNNNNNNNNNNNNNNNNNNNNNNNNNNNNNNNNNNNNNNNNNNUCUUUCCCCCAGUUACCCUCCAACUAAGUCACCGGUUCACCCACCGGCGAACGCCCCUCACCACCAUCAUCACCACCACCACAUUCACUCACCAUCCCCUGCUCCUACCCCUGUUAAUGUCCACCCUGCUCCUCCUACACAUUCUCCCUACCCUUCUACCCCUGUACCUGCUAAACCACCAACUCAUCACCACCAUGUCCAUCACCACCCUCCUCCCCCUGUUAAACCACCUGUUCACACACCUAUUGUAACCCAUCCACCAUUGUACACACCUGUUCCAACUCACCCACCACUGCACCCCCCUGUUCCAGCUCACCCACCAUUGCACCCCCCUUCAGUUCCAGCUCACCCACCAUUUCAUUCCACUCCCAUUCCUAGAAGCUUUAUUGCAGUUCAAGGUGUUGUUUAUGUCAAAUCAUGCAAAUAUUCUGGGGUUGAUACCCUCUUGGGAGC